This 19-nucleotide small nuclear RNA is filed under the name Arabidopsis thaliana (thale cress). Its description in RNAcentral is "snRNA_02766". The record is from RNAcentral. Lineage: Eukaryota; Viridiplantae; Streptophyta; Magnoliopsida; Brassicales; Brassicaceae.
GCGGGAUCCCUCGCGGGUG